Long non-coding RNA from Lactuca sativa (garden lettuce), 1023 nucleotides. RefSeq lists it as uncharacterized. The record is from RefSeq and is a predicted model, not a curated record. Lineage: Eukaryota; Viridiplantae; Streptophyta; Magnoliopsida; Asterales; Asteraceae.
GAUUUUUCUAACUACUUAUUUAUAUCGUCGUUGUCAGCACCAUCAUUUAAUCACCACCUCACAGUUUCAAUCUUCUUAUUUGAUACUCCAUGCUUUCUGCAUCUUUGUGCCUUCAUCCACAACGUCCAACACAAUUAAAGCCUCGGCAACUUUAAGUUUCAAGCUACAUAUUCAGAAGAACACCACUGGAAUGACCCUUAACCUUAGCUAAUCAUCGCUACCGCCAAAACUCCCCAAAUUUAACCUAACGACGGCCACUAUCCACUACCCACCAUUCAAUCGUAUUUCAAAAUUUGAAUUCCGUGUUUUUGAAAUUCUAUCGAAACCCUAUAUAUCACACUCUCUCCAAAAGCGGUCUAACAUAUUUCUUUCGAUUUUGCAAAUUUCAUUCUACAUCUGUUUGAUUUCAGAAAGUUUAACCAGAUUGGCAUAGUUGCUAUUGAGUUCUCGAUCUUUGAGAGUGUUUAUGAAUCAAUAAAGGUAAGUUACCCUGAAUUGGCAAGGUUGGCUGAUGCAACACCUGUGAUUAUUCCUGCAAGCAUCUCUACAAAUUUUAUGUUCUAGAAUCGAAGCUUAAUUAGAAGUCAAGACUGCUAAUUAUUUGUUCUCCACAUCUGUUAACCAAGUUUAUGCAUCACGGAUAUAAGGGUGUACAUGUGUUCAUAUUUUGCUUAAAAGGGUGUGUAAACAUGGACCAUCAUUCAAGCGUUUGACUAUUCAAUGGGGGCGAUGAGUUGAUUAUAGAGUAAAAAUAGUUCUGGUUACCACAAACCUUUUCAUUUUUUAUCUAAGUAAAGUAUGUAACAUAUAACCUCUAACCGAUGUUAUAUGUUAUCUUAUUUUCAUUUUUAUAUACAUUUUAUUCUAUAAUUACUUGAAAAAUGAUUUCCAAAGCAUAUGUUGAGAUUUAUUAUAAUAGUGGGAAUGAGAAUUGUAUUACGGCUUUGAUUGAUUGUUGGAAAGAUGGAAAGAGCGACAAAGUUUUUUUCAAUGAAAUUAUCUUUUUUUUAAACAGAUUUGUGG